AGCGGCAAAAGCUCAAAUUUGAAAUCUGGCACUUUCAGUGUCCGAGUUGUAAUUUGAAGAAGGUAUCUUUGGGUCUGGCUCUUGUCUAUGUUUCUUGGAACAGAACGUCACAGAGGGUGAGAAUCCCGUGCGAUGAGAUGUCCCAGUCCUAUGUAAAGUUCCUUCGAAGAGUGGAGUUGUUUGGGAAUGCAGCUUUAAGUGGGUGGUAAAUUCCAUUUAAAGUUAAAUAUUGGGGAGAGCCCGAUAGCGACCAAGUCCAGUGAUGGAAAGAUGAAAAGACCUUUGAAAAGAGAGUGAAAAAGUACGUGAAAUUGUUGAAAGGGAAGGGCUUGAGAUCAGACUUGGUAUUUUGUAUGUUACUCUUUCGGGGGUGGCCUCUACAGUUUACCGGGCCAGCAUCAGUUUGGGCGGUAGGACAAUUGCAAAGAAAUGUGGCCCUGCCUCGGUAGUGUGUUAUAGUCUUGUCGAUACUGCCAGCCUAUACUGAGGACU
Molecule: ribosomal RNA, 492 nt
Filed under: Lodderomyces orthopsilosis
Lineage: Eukaryota; Fungi; Ascomycota; Pichiomycetes; Serinales; Debaryomycetaceae
Description: Candida orthopsilosis partial large subunit ribosomal RNA
Rfam family: Eukaryotic large subunit ribosomal RNA
Source: RNAcentral